GCCGGGCGCGGUGGCUCACGCCUGUAAUCCCAGCACUUUGGGAGGCUGAGGCAGGUGAAUCACCUGAGGUCAGGAGUUUGACCUGGCCAAUAUGGCGAAACCCUGCCUCUA
This 111-nucleotide non-coding RNA is filed under the name Chlorocebus sabaeus (green monkey). Lineage: Eukaryota; Metazoa; Chordata; Mammalia; Primates; Cercopithecidae. The record is from Rfam by way of RNAcentral.